AGUCGUAACAAGGUUUCCGUAGGUGAACCUGCGGAAGGAUCAUUAACACAUUGUCCAUUUGAUGGUGAGUAUAUAAGGGGUGUAGCAAUACGCUCCCUAUUAUUCAUCAUUCAAACAACAUUAGAGAAUGAGUUGACAAGUCAUCAACCAUUUUAUUUAUUUAAAGUGUUUGAGUGAAUAAUCAAAUCAUGCUAUCACGAUCAAUAUAUAGAAGGGUCAUACCUUGUAUCUAUUCGACUGAUGUUUUUUUCGAAAAACAAAAAAAACAAAAUAUAACCAAGACAACUUGUAACAGUGGAUACCUUGGUUCCCAG
This 314-nucleotide unclassified non-coding RNA is filed under the name fungal sp. RNAcentral describes it as "partial internal transcribed spacer region". The stretch from base 1 to 45 matches the Rfam family "Eukaryotic small subunit ribosomal RNA", at positions 1787 to 1831 of the family's 1831-position model. The record is from RNAcentral. Lineage: Eukaryota; Fungi.